AUUCUUGGGCCUGGCCUCCCAACCCAAAUAUAACUGGCUUAGCAAAAAAGCUCAGAUGCACAUAGACUUGAGAGGCGAGGCCACACCCUUUCCCUCUCCUCUCCGUCUCCCAAGUGCGUCUUCCUCAACCUCCGACGCAUUCUUCCGUGAACCCCGUCAUUCUCAGGUGUUCCUGGGUGUCGGAAAUGUAGUCGGAUACAUAUUCGGAUAUUUGUUUUUGAAACUCUCGGUUAUGCAUGGUUAUUGGAGCAGGGACAAUUCUUUCUUCCUGCUUCUCUGUCGUUGCAUUUUUUAUGCCAGAGUCGCCUUAUUGGUUGAUCAUGAAAGUUCAACAGGCUAAUGCCGGGCUGGUUCUUGGAAAAAUAUCAAAUAGCAAGGAAGAGGCCAAGUUAGAGCUUAAAGAAAGAGAAAAUAGAGGAGAAUGGACAGGAUUUAUUAGUAAGCAUUCUGUUUCCUACAUCUUGAUAUGCACCAUUUGUAUUCAUCUAUUCCAAGCUGCAGCUCAGAUAGGUGUUAUUGUCUUGUAUGGACGUGUGAUCUUUGAAAUCAUGGGUGUUCACUCAUUAGAAAGCAGCUUAAUAUCCAACGUAGUUCUUGGGUGUAUCAAGACUUCGUUUACUUUAGUGGCUAUGUUUUCCAUUGAUCGAAAACAUUCAAGCUUGAGUUGUGCUUCUCCUCCCUUUUAUCCUUCCAGAUCUUCAAAUAAAGACAGUACUUGAAGUCAAAAAAGGUAUAUAUGGUGCAAGCACGAGCAAGAAUCUUCACACUCCUGUUAUAGAUGAGAAUUUUCCUAUACACCAAAACAGUGCAUUGGUGCUGGGGAAGUAUAGCUGAGUCGCUGACUCUGUUGCAAUUGACAGGCCUUUUAUAUUGAUGAUACCAUCACUCCGGCAGCAGGGAAGCCUGUGAGCAAUAUGCAAAUGCCACCUUCUGGAUCUUCUGUGAUCAAUCCUAUUACAUCUUUGAAAUCUACGGCUCAAGGAAGGAGUGUAGCUAUGUCAGACCAGAUGACUUGUCAGGGAGCUCCACAGCACAACCAAAUCAACAGAACCUCUCCCACUCCACAGCUCCACUCUCUUCAGCGAAUUCCUGCUCAAAACCGUAUUCAACCUCCAGCAGUUGGUCCAAUGUCCGGGUAGUAAUUCUCAAGCCUCUUCUCCACGAAAAACUGCUUUGUCACUAACUUCUUAUGAAGCUGGUGAAGCAGAGACUGCUGCAGAAUCAAGUAAUCCAGAACAGCAUUGGUUGAAAAGGGAAAAGGCAUAAUUCAAGGAAAUAGAAGAGGAUCUUUUCUUUAUGGUGGGACGCAGGUUAUGGGAGCCACAUGGAAAAUGGGUGUUGGGCAUGGUGAGCAGAACUUCCUUGGAACACCAACCUUUUUGCCAGGUACAAAAUGCCCAGUUCCUUGUCGUAAAAGGGUUCCUUCUGUUUUGUUCUGGUUUGUCAGGUCAGAAAUGCAGUGACCAAUGCUUUUCACGUCUUUUCAGCUGGUUCUCUCUUUUGCUUCUUUUGGCAGGCAACUGGCAUCACCUCCGUUGCAGCCAUCACAUGAUGCUUUGCUCUUUUUUUUCCCCUCACUGAUGGAAUUAACAGUGGCUUAGACUGCCCUGCUGAUGUUCAUUCGGUCCGUGUAUUGAUGCUUCUCAUUUGAUCCUUCUUUUGACUCCGCCCUCGUCUACUCAAACCUGCUCGUGCUUUCGCUCUUUUUUGUUCCGUUUGUUAUGAAUUUGCAUUGUUUUCCUUCAUUUAGCGGCCUGCUCAGGCAGCUCCUUUUAAGUUCGUUUCCUACACUUUUCUGACAGCUGCUCACAGCAUUGUCUCCCUGCAGGGUCACUGGCUUCCCAGCCUUGCCUGCGCUCAGACACCCGCGUCCAGACGUGUGGCUUAUCUGUGCACAACAUGUGGAUCCAUGCUUGCCUGCUCUGCUGCCAUUUCAGUUCCCCUGUCAGUCUGUCACCUGCUGUUCUUUUUAGUGCAUUGCAUGUACUUUUUAGCUCUUGCUGAGGCAAGAAGAACAUUGCCUAAAUGCCACUGUCGUCAAUUUCUGCUGAAUUUUCUCUAAAUGCUUGAUUGCAAUAUUUAUCGUCUUUUAGCAAUGAUGGUUAUCCUUUUAAGAUUCUACAGACAAAUUCUUUCGGCUUUCCUCCUCUAUCCUAUCAACGCGAUCUAAAUCAUUGCACAAUCGAAAGAGAACGCCCACGGUGAAGUGCUUCUAUUUUUCUCAAGGGUGGCUCAAGAAUGCUGGGGUUCAGUUUGUGUUUUGUUUGUCAAUUUCUUUGCGUCAGAUCAUUUACUUUCAAGAUUUUGAGAUUUAAUUGGAAAAUGGUAGUUUGCUGGUUGAUUUAUUAUUUCUUACCAUUUGAAGUGUUUUACCAGACACUUGCUGAAAUUAAUGUUAUAUGAUAUCAAUUUUUCUGAGUCUUACUUUCAUUUAUGUGUUGAAUUUUCUUCUCUUUUCAUGUAUUUGCUUUUCAUUUUGCUUGUGCUAAGCUGCUUCAUUUUCAUUGACUGACAAGGGAUUAUUUUAGUCAUUCUUGUAAUAUUUUGAAAUAAAAAAAGAAGGUUUGAUAGGAAAUGACAACAAUAUCCUUAGAAGAGUAAGUUUUAGGUGUAUAUGGAUGAAGGGCAUUUUAGUAAUUGAACAAAAAGGUGGUAAAUAUAGAAGGAAGAAGAGAAAAGGAAACGAGGAGAAGACUUGUAUUUGAAGAGAGGGAACCGUAAGAAGAAGAGAAAGAAGAGGAGAUAAAGGAAGGAGAAGAGAGUUAGAGAAAAUAAGUUUAAAAGAUAAAAUUUAUGUUUUGAUAUGUAAAAUUGUUAAUAUUAAUUAAGAUUGUGAAUUUGUUGAAGAUCAAUGUUUUGAAGAUUUUGAUUUGGGUUUGAAUAAUGAGUUGAUUGGAAUAUUAUGAGUUAAUUGAUAUAGGUAAUGAUUUAUUUAGUUGAUUUGGAAAGAUUUUGAGUAAAGAUGAUUUUGAGUUAUGUUUUGUUUAAAAGAUAAAUUUGAGCUAGAUGUAGAUCAGUAGGUGAUCUGUAGAAAAAUUCGAGUCUAGGGUUAAAGAUGACGAGAUUUCAGUCUGGUCCCUCAAUUUAUAAAGAUUACAGUUUAAUUCUCGAACUUUGGAGAAAUUAUGGUUUUAUCCCUGGAGCUAAAUUCGAGAUUCUUGACAAAAUUUAGGAUGAGUUAUGGGCAACAUCUCAGUAUGGUUAUGAAUUUAUAAUAUUUAUAGUUUGGUCCUCUAAUUUGACAAAAUUACAAUUUUAGCCCCUAAAAAUCUAAGAAAAAUCCAUAUUGGUCACUAGCUGAAAUUAUAGUUUUUCAGAUUGGUUUUGAUGAAUAAUUGUGGUUUCUUGACGAAUUAUUAUCAAAUUUUAUGUUUUGUUUCCUUUUGAAAUAGAUUUCGAAAAAUCGUUUGAUUUUUUGGUUUUUGAGAAAAAGGACGGGUUUGGUUCAUAAACAUAUAGGCUAUAAGGUUAUGAGUUAGACUCUAAGUUAAGUGUAUUAAAUAGAUUGUACAUUUUUUUUUUAGUUUUUUUUAAUAUGUCUCAUUUUGUAUUCAAAUAUUCUUGAUGUUCUACCUGUGGAACAUCAAUAGAAUUGCCUUUAGUAUAUGCCUCCGUGUUAUUUUUAAUUUUGAGUUAUGUGAGUGAAUAAUUUUUUAUAUGCUAGAAGAUUAGUAUAAAUACUUGAAUUGUUAACAUGAAAUUAAUCGUGCUUCUUGAUAAUUCUUAUAUUGUUAUUUAUUCCUUGUUUAUUAUUAAACAUGAUUACUUAUUGAAACUAAAUAUCUGAUAUGAACUAUUAUGUACUUCUGAAUUGAUAAUUUUUCAUUUGACUGAUGUCAUGAGUUGAGGUUAGAGAUAUAAAUCUAUCUGUGUGAUUAUAAUAUGGACUAGUAUGUUAGUUAGAAUACUCAUGCUAGUAGGGUAGUGUUAGUUUUUAUGCACAUCGUAUUUGGAUUCUAAUUGGUAGGGAGAGUCACCAACUUGUGGCGACUAAUCAUCAUACAGUACGAAGCAUCAUGCUUAUUACUUUUUGAUUUUCUAACGUGCUUUAUUUUAUGAUAUUCUUGUUAUGGUCUAUUUGAGAAACUUUGUUGUAAGAACUUAAAGUCAUAUUUGUAUAUAUAUUCCUCAUUGUUGUAAUAUUUCAUGUACGUAUAUUGAACCCUCUCGUUACUUAUCUUUUUCAGAUUUAUAGCUUGUUAGCAUGUUUUUUUAGUUGUAAUUGGUAUUUUUUUUAUUAUGUCUAGUUAGUAUUUUAUAAUUAUGAUAUUUGUUUUAACUCUUUUAUUAAAAUAAUUAAUUUAUAUUAUGAGAUUAGUUAUGUUAUUAUGUUGUGUAGAACUUUGUUUUGUUUAUAUAGGUGAAAACGUUUGUAUGAAAGUUUGGGUUAUAUAAUUUGGAAACCUGGAGGGAACCUUUUCUUAUGCGCCGGCACCUAGUUUGGGUUCCAUAGCUUGACUUCUGCUUCCCCUCCUUUUUGUCCUCCCGGAUCUUCAAACAAAGACAUUACUUUAAGAAAAAAAAAAGGAAAUGUAUGGUGCAAGCACAAGCAAGAAUCUUCGCACUCCUGUCAAACAGUGCAUUGGUGCGGGGGGAGAAUAUAGCUGACUCUGUUACAAUUUACAAGCUUUAUAUUGAUGAUACCGUCACUCCUCCGACAGCAGGGAAGCUUUUGAGCAAUAUGAAAAUGCCCCCUUCUGUGGUCAAUUCUAUUCCAUCUUCGCAAUCCAGGGCUCAAGGAAGGAUUGUAGCUAUGUCAGGCCAGAUGACUUAUCAGGGAGGGAGCUCCGCAGCACAACCAAAUCAACAGAACCUCUCCCACUCCACCGCUCCACUCUCUCUUCAGCGAAUCCCUGCUCAAAACCGUAGUCAACCUCUGCUCAGCAGGAAGUCCAAUGUCCUGGUAGUGAUUCUCAAGCCUCUUCUCCACCAAAAAUUCAGGGAAAUAGAAGAGGAUCUUUUCUAUAUGGUGGGACACAGGUUAUGGGAGCCACAAGGAACGUGGGUGUUGGGCAUGGUGAUCAGAACUUCCCUGGAACAACCUUCUUUUUAGCCAGUUAUGCAAUUUGGUGGUCAGCAUCUCCGUGGUCUUGGAGUUCCUGCGGUCGCCAUGGCGUUUCCCGGAUAUGUUUCUCAGCCGAAAUGACAUGGUUACCAGUUCUGACCGGCGCUGCGGGAGCUUUAUGACUGCAUAUUGUUCACCUCAUAUUUCAGUUGAUGGAGGGUGAAACAUUGGGGACCUAAUUGAUAAAUUAUUUUAUUUGAGACUCGAUUGGGAAUAGCUAUAGAGGCUAUGGACUAAAUUGAGGGUUCCUGUAUAUUCUAAGCAGCAAAUACAUAACCUUUUCUGACUUUGGCAGUGUGAUCUGCCUGUGUUUUUUUUUCCCUUUUAGAACACCUUUUAUAUGAGAAUUGAAAUCUGUGAGCACUUCGGCCAUUCCUACAUGCUUCGUUAUGGACUAAAUUGAGGGUUCCUGUAUAUUCUAAGCAGCAAAUACAUAACCUUUUCUGACUUUGGCAGUGUGAUCUGCCUGUGUUUUUUUUUUUUUCCAUUUAGAACACCUUUUAUAUGAGAAUUGAAAUCUGUGAGCACUUUGGCCAUUCCUACA
Molecule: long non-coding RNA, 5609 nt
Organism: Populus nigra (black poplar)
Lineage: Eukaryota; Viridiplantae; Streptophyta; Magnoliopsida; Malpighiales; Salicaceae
Exons: 6
Source: RefSeq, a predicted model, not a curated record